Molecule: long non-coding RNA, 214 nt
Filed under: Mytilus galloprovincialis (Mediterranean mussel)
Lineage: Eukaryota; Metazoa; Mollusca; Bivalvia; Mytilida; Mytilidae
Source: RNAcentral
UCUUCUUUUAUGUGGUUAGGAUGUUUACACUAAUUACAGAUUUAUGAGAGAAUGGAAUCCCAUAGCGACAAUUUGAGACACCCUUUUGAAGCUCAUGAUGUGUUGAUUGAUUAAGAUUGCGUUAAAAUUUUCUGUAUAGUUAAAGAGAUGAUAGAGCUAAAUUCAUUUAAGUGAACUGACCCAGAUUUUGCCACUAAUUACAUAAUAAUUGAUU